RNAcentral lists this ribosomal RNA (147 nucleotides) under uncultured Clostridium sp. RNAcentral describes it as "partial 16S ribosomal RNA". It matches the Rfam family "Bacterial small subunit ribosomal RNA", at positions 335 to 475 of the family's 1533-position model. Lineage: Bacteria; Bacillati; Bacillota; Clostridia; Eubacteriales; Clostridiaceae. The record is from RNAcentral.
ACUCCUACGGGAGGCAGCAGUAGGGAAUUUUCGGCAAUGGGGGAAACCCUGACCGAGCAACGCCGCGUGAAGGAAGAAGGUUUUCGGAUUGUAAACUUCUGUUAUAAAGGAAGAACGGCGGCUACAGGAAAUGGUAGCCGAGGACGG